GCGGGUAUGACGGAAUUGGUAGACGUGCGAGAUUUAGGUUCUCGUGUCGCAAGGCGUGGGGGUUCGAGUCCCUCUACCCGCACCA
This 85-nucleotide transfer RNA is filed under the name Hyphomonas sp. RNAcentral's name for it is "tRNA-Leu". It matches the Rfam family "tRNA". From Rfam's summary of the family: Transfer RNA (tRNA) molecules are approximately 80 nucleotides in length. RNAcentral also lists the same sequence under 1 other name. The record is from RNAcentral. Lineage: Bacteria; Pseudomonadati; Pseudomonadota; Alphaproteobacteria; Hyphomonadales; Hyphomonadaceae.